CUGCUCAGGCCAUUCAAGCUUAGGCUCCAGGCUCAGUAACUUCCUUUCCCGGUAACCAGAGAAAAUUGCUUUUCUACAUUAAAUUUACAUGAAACAAAGCAGCAAGUGUAUAUGACGCCUGAAAUAAGAGUGGAACUCCCUGAGUCAUUCCUCUGCCUGAAGCCCUGCUUUGAUGUGUUUAAGAGUCCAGUAGAACCGAAAGUUCAUAAAGUGGUGUAUACUUGUAUAGCUUUUGAAGGAACUCAAGAAACGUCACCCAGAAAUAUCCCACAUUGGUCUGCUGAUUACUUCAAACUGAGGGAACUUUGGGAACAGCAAAUGCAGGGAGAGACUUUCUCUGAACUUACAUCAUUUGCCUAAAGAUGGAUCCUACAAAAGGAAUGAAAUGAAAGAAGAGGGAAAGUCUUUCUUCCCAAACACUUUCAACCUCCAAAUCAAGAAACUCCCUAAAUCCAGUUGACUAUUAAAUGACACCAGUUCAUACUGUGCAUGAUUACUUAUACGAAGAUUUUCUUCUGCUAUGCUGCUCCUGAAUCACCAAGACCAACUCCUCCUCUUCAGCCUACUCAGUAUGAAGACAACAAGGAUGAAGACUUUUAAUGAUGAUCUACUUCCACUUUAUGAAUAGGAAAUAUAUGUCCUUUCAUAUGGUUUUCUUAAUAACAUUUUUUAUCUAUUUUAUUGUAAGAAUAAACU
This 696-nucleotide long non-coding RNA is filed under the name Homo sapiens (human). RNAcentral describes it as "HSALNT0114739". Lineage: Eukaryota; Metazoa; Chordata; Mammalia; Primates; Hominidae. The record is from RNAcentral.